GCGACCGACGUCAUUUCCGCAGGCGCUGUAGGCCCCACCCACGCACUUCCCGGUGCACGUGAUGCGGACAGGUUCUAUUAAGCCCUGGCUAGCCUGGAAGCAUAGCCUGUCCUCAACUAACAGAGAUCCAUCCACUGCUUCUGCCUUGAGGGUGGCUGGAAUUAAAGGGAUCAAAACAGCACUCGAGAAUCAGCAGGAUCGCUCAACAGGUAGAAGUGCUGGCCUCACAGACCUGAUGACCUGAGAUCAAUCCCCAGAGUCCAUGUAAAGGUGCUGGGAUUCAAGACAUGCACCACCACCAAAUGUCCAGAAGUUUUAAUACAUCCAAAAAAACUACUCAAUGAGACAGAAAACUGUAAUAAAAAAACUAUAAACAUUCAACGGAGCAGAGCUAUCCUUGAAGAAAUGAAGGAAAAACUAUUAUCAAACCUUCCCUCAACACACAAUCAUGACAACAAAGAGUCUUCAUAUUUUUAUGUAGCUAGAAUAAUGCUUGAUAUUGAAAUGGUAUUCAAAAUUAUUUGUUAACUGAAAUCACAUUAAGAAAAGGUGCUUUAGUUUGGGGUUUUAAAAAAAUACUUCAUUUGUUCUCCUUGUUUACAAAGCUUUUUGGU
Long non-coding RNA from Onychomys torridus (southern grasshopper mouse), 614 nucleotides. RefSeq lists it as uncharacterized. The transcript has 4 exons. The record is from RefSeq and is a predicted model, not a curated record. NCBI's taxonomy places the organism in Eukaryota, Metazoa, Chordata, Mammalia, Rodentia, Cricetidae.